RNAcentral lists this RNase P RNA (405 nucleotides) under Adhaeribacter terrigena. RNAcentral's name for it is "RNase P RNA component class A". It matches the Rfam family "Bacterial RNase P class A". Rfam says of the family: Ribonuclease P (RNase P) is a ubiquitous endoribonuclease, found in archaea, bacteria and eukarya as well as chloroplasts and mitochondria. Its best characterised activity is the generation of mature 5'-ends of tRNAs by cleaving the 5'-leader elements of precursor-tRNAs. The record is from RNAcentral. Lineage: Bacteria; Pseudomonadati; Bacteroidota; Cytophagia; Cytophagales; Hymenobacteraceae.
ACAACAAGCCGGCUUAUCGCUGCGAAUUCGUUCGGAGAGGAAAGUCCGGGCAACACAGAGCAUCCUGCUUCCUAACGGGAAGGGGCUUUCCGGGCGACGGGAAAGUUACAGACAGGGCCACAGAAAAUAACCGCCCGUUUUUUUAAUUAAAAAACGGGUAAGGGUGAAAAGGUGCGGUAAGAGCGCACCAGUGCUUUGGGUGACCAGGGCAGCUGGGUAAACCUCAGGAGUUGAAAGACCAAAUAGGUCCCGGAAGUGGAGUUGCUCGCUCCCUGGUUGCUUCGGCAGCCUGUCGGGAUGGGUAGGUUGAUGGAGCCUUGCCGCGAGGCCUGGCCUAGAUAAAUGAUAAGCCGUUGCGGAUUCUUUCCGGAGCGACAGAACCCGGCUUACAGGCUUGUUGCUUUU